Molecule: ribosomal RNA, 466 nt
Filed under: uncultured bacterium
Lineage: Bacteria
Description: bacterial SSU rRNA
Rfam family: Bacterial small subunit ribosomal RNA
Source: RNAcentral
ACCCAGACUCCUACGGGAGGCAGCAGUGAGGAAUAUUGGUCAAUGGGCGCGAGCCUGAACCAGCCAAGUCGCGUGAGGGAAGACGGCCCUACGGGUUGUAAACCUCUUUUGUCGGGGAGCAAAGCGAACCACGUGUGGUUCAUUGAGAGUACCCGAAGAAAAAGCAUCGGCUAACUCCGUGCCAGCAGCCGCGGUAAUACGGAGGAUGCGAGCGUUAUCCGGAUUUAUUGGGUUUAAAGGGUGCGCAGGCGGAGGUGCAAGUCAGUGGUCAAAUUGCGGGGCUCAACCCCGUACUGCCGUUGAAACUGGGGAUCUAGAGUGUGCGAGAGGUAUGCGGAAUGCGUGGUGUAGCGGUGAAAUGCAUAGAUAUCACGCAGAACCCCGAUUGCGAAGGCAGCAUACCGGUGCACAACUGACGCUCAGGCACGAAAGCGUGGGUAUCGAACAGGAUUAGAUACCCCAGUAU